Molecule: unclassified non-coding RNA, 347 nt
Filed under: uncultured Agaricomycetes
Lineage: Eukaryota; Fungi; Basidiomycota; Agaricomycetes
Description: sequence contains ITS1
Rfam family: 5.8S ribosomal RNA (bases 1-105)
Source: RNAcentral
GAAAUGCGAUAAGUAAUGUGAAUUGCAGAAUUCAGUGAAUCAUCGAAUCUUUGAACGCACCUUGCGCUCCCUGGUAUUCCGGGGAGCAUGCCUGUUUGAGUGUCAUGGUAUUCUCAUCCUUCAUAACUUUUGUUAUCGAAGGCAUGGACUUGGAGGUCGUGCUGGUUCCUCGUUGAAUCAGCUCCUCUUAAAUGUAUUAGCGUGAGUGUAACGGAUCGCUUCGGUGUGAUAAUUAUCUGCGCCGUGGUCGUGAAGUAACAUAAGCUUGCGCUUCUAACCGUCCUUAAGCUGGACAACUUACUUUGACAUCUGACCUCAAAUCAGGUAGGACUACCCGCUGAACUUAA